Molecule: small nuclear RNA, 111 nt
Filed under: Fukomys damarensis (Damara mole-rat)
Lineage: Eukaryota; Metazoa; Chordata; Mammalia; Rodentia; Bathyergidae
Description: U4 spliceosomal RNA (ENSFDAG00000003348.1)
Rfam family: U4 spliceosomal RNA
About the family: U4 small nuclear RNA (U4 snRNA) is a component of the major U2-dependent spliceosome. The structure of U4 snRNA from yeast and human has been reported.
Source: RNAcentral
AGCUUUGUACAGUGGCAGUAUUGUAGCCAAUGAAGUUUAUCUGAGGCAUGAUUAUUGCUAACUGAAGAAUCAGAAUCCAAACAGUAGUAAUUCAGUGUAAUACAUUCAUGU